RNAcentral lists this ribosomal RNA (207 nucleotides) under uncultured bacterium. Its description in RNAcentral is "partial 16S ribosomal RNA". It matches the Rfam family "Bacterial small subunit ribosomal RNA", at positions 568 to 774 of the family's 1533-position model. The record is from RNAcentral.
AGCGUAGACGGACUGGCAAGUCUGAUGUGAAAGGCGGGGGCUCAACCCCUGGACUGCAUUGGAAACUGUUAGUCUUGAGUGCCGGAGAGGUAAGCGGGAUUCCUAGUGUAGCGGUGAAAUGCGUAGAUAUUAGGAGGAACACCAGUGGCGAAGGCGGCUUACUGGACGGUAACUGACGUUGAGGCUCGAAAGCGUGGGGAGCAAACA